CAGCAGCCGCGGGAAUACGUAGGGUGCGAGCGUUAAUCGGAAUUACUGGGCGUAAAGCGUGCGCAGGCGGUUAUAUAAGACAGAUGUGAAAUCCCCGGGCUCAACCUGGGACCUGCAUUUGUGACUGUAUAGCUAGAGUACGGUAGAGGGGAAUGGAAUUCCGCGUGUAGCAGUGAAAUGCGUAGAUAUGCGGAGGAACACCGAUGGCGAAGGCAAUCCCCCGGACCUGUACUGACACUCAUGCACGAAAGCGUGAGGAGCAAACAGGAUUAGAUACCCCAGUAGUCCCUGUCUCUUAUAC
This 301-nucleotide ribosomal RNA is filed under the name uncultured bacterium. Its description in RNAcentral is "partial 16S ribosomal RNA". It matches the Rfam family "Bacterial small subunit ribosomal RNA", at positions 509 to 807 of the family's 1533-position model. The record is from RNAcentral.